This 615-nucleotide long non-coding RNA is filed under the name Glycine max (soybean). RNAcentral's name for it is "long non-coding RNA (GMAX_LNC001746)". The record is from RNAcentral. Lineage: Eukaryota; Viridiplantae; Streptophyta; Magnoliopsida; Fabales; Fabaceae.
AGCUUUUAGCCAUGCUUGUUAGAAUUUAAUCGAUAAAUCAAUCAUGUCGCUGUAAAAUGUAGAAAGCCGAGAACUAGAAGGGUCUAACAGCCAUGAUGUUAGUUAAAUAAUAGAAUUUUAGCUUCUCUCUCUAUCUGUGUAUACAAAUGAUACUCUCUUUUUGUGGUUGCUUUUUUGUGCUUACUUUACAAGAGAAGGGAAAGCCAAGCAAGAAGAAGGGUGUAUUUGAACAAAAGUUUAAUUAUUCUUUUUAGCCAAAACACUUUUAAGUUUUAACUCUUAUUUUGAAGCAAAAGAAAAAACACACAAUAAAGAGAGAAAUAUAUUGUAGUGAUUUUUUUCCUGGGGGUUGAGAGAGAGAACAGAAGGAAAGAGAGAAAGCUCAACGUCAGAGUUAGCCGUAGCCCUUAAGGUUCCCCUAUUUUGUGUUUGUGGUUUUGGACUAGCUGAGGUACACAGAGAAUCCUCUUCUUCUCAUCCACACCCCUCUCUCAUUCUCUCUUUCUGAUAAUGAGUUUAAACUUUUAAACAACAGGGUCUAUAUUUUUGUUCAUAUUUGUGUGGCUUUCCUUGGAUUUUAUAUAUUUAUUUAUUUCCUAGGUAAUAUAUAUUAUC